UCCUUUCCCUGCUCAACGCUCUAAUUUACCACCGCAGGUAUACUCUUCUAAUUAGGCAAUUAGUAUGUUGAAGUCGUUGCUCCACUGUUGCUCUCUCCAAAACCUAUAUUGAUAUGUAAUUGUGAUUGAGACUUUCAGUUGGGUCUCCUCUACUGCCUACGCUCCGAAUGAAGUUUCGACGCUGAGGAUGCACAAACAUGGAAGCUUCCGCUUCAUCUCCUCUGAAUUUGUAAUUUUGAUGAUGCUGUGUUUUCCAAUUCGCAGCCUAUUUGCCUUGAAAUUCGUUCCCUGCACCGAGCCUGCUCUCUUUUCUCUUAGUUGUUGUCAACGUUGAGCUUCCAUGUUGAUAAUACGCCGCAUCUCCAGUGGUGGUUGCAUACUCCAGUUCUGACGAAGGCAAUC
Arachis ipaensis is the source of this 402-nucleotide non-coding RNA. The record is from RefSeq and is a predicted model, not a curated record. NCBI's taxonomy places the organism in Eukaryota, Viridiplantae, Streptophyta, Magnoliopsida, Fabales, Fabaceae.